RNAcentral lists this unclassified non-coding RNA (380 nucleotides) under soil metagenome. RNAcentral's name for it is "partial contains 5.8S ribosomal RNA, internal transcribed spacer 2, and large subunit ribosomal RNA". The stretch from base 1 to 120 matches the Rfam family "5.8S ribosomal RNA", at positions 35 to 154 of the family's 154-position model. The record is from RNAcentral.
GAUGAAGAACGUAGCGAAAUGCGAUAAGUAAUGUAAAUUGCAGAAUUCAGUGAAUCAUCGAAUCUUUGAACGCACCUUGCACCCUUUGGCAUUCUGAAGGGUACGCUCGUUUGAGUGUCAUUGUACUCUCACACUCCCGAUCUUUGCAUUGGGAGCAGUGGACUUGGGUUUGCUGCUUCACCGUCGCUUACCUCAAAUAGGUUAGUGCAACUCUUGGUUGGACAUAGUACGGCGUGAUAAGUGUUCUUCGCCGGUGCCUCGCAAAGAGGGUGGCCGAUCGGGAUGUUGUGCUCCAAACCGUCUUCGGACAAUCUCUGACGACUUGACCUCAAAUCGAGUAAGACUACCCGCUGAACUUAAGCAUAUCAAUAAGCGGAGGA